Molecule: RNA transcript, 1064 nt
Organism: Argiope bruennichi
Lineage: Eukaryota; Metazoa; Arthropoda; Arachnida; Araneae; Araneidae
Exons: 4
Source: RefSeq, a predicted model, not a curated record
AUGGAAGAAAUGGAGAGAGAUUAGGUCUGUAAAAGAGUCAAUAAGUGAAAGAUGCCUGGAGUGAUCAGCUGCAAGAGAACCUUGGACAAUUAACAUUAUUAAAUCCAUGGCAUGGAUUUAGCGGCAGAUGAAAUAAGCAUUCAGGCUGCUGUGGGAGAAGCAGAAAUGCAGAUACUAGCGGAUGAGCCACCCCUCAUGCCAGCGCAACAGCAACAGGUUGUUUUGCCGCAAUCAGUAUUCGCUAAUUUAAGGGGACCUCCGAUGACAAAAACAGUUCUUCUUUGCCAACAAAUUUACCUGCUUUUGAAUUACAGUGGUAUGAUGAUCCUCAGAAGUCUACUCAGAGUGAAAUGUUUCUCAAUGAUAAGAAUUUUUCAUUGGAAACUUCCAGAGAUCCUGGAUGCAGUGCUGGAGUUUCAGGGAUUUCAGUUCCACAUAAAGAACCGUCUAUGGCUUCAUCAUCUGCACAAGCUGAUGUAUUAAGUUGUGAAAGUCUCAGUUCUGGAGAAGUUGACAGGGCUUUGGGAAGUUACCCUUUGGAUUCCGAACCAGAAAAAAAAAAGAGGUUGAAACUUCAUUUGGUGGGAAUUCUCCUUCAUUCUGCUUAUAGUUCUGUGAUAAUAGGUGUCUGCAAUUGAAUCGACCAAUGAAUCCAAUUUCUAACAAUCUGCAAUUAGCACCAACAUCUGUUCGACAGAUAGUUGAAGAACAUGAAAUGCCAUUCCAGUGAAAUUGAUUUUUGUUGUUGAUACUGAUAAAAAACAAAAAAAUUAUCAUACUAGAAAUGUUUUACUAAAAAUGCCAAUGUAUACAUGAGGAUGAAAUUCAUUUAUGCUUGUAUCAAACAAUCCAUGAUAAUGUAAGAUAAGGGAACUUAAUUUUGACUAUAACUUUUGAAUUAGAUUUUGUUAACAUCAAUGUCGUAUGGAUGGCUUUUGUUUAUUAUUUUCAGAAAUAUAUGAUAUUAUAAUACUAGAUAUAACUUUUAAUUAAGUCAUAUUAGAUUACAGAAUUUUUUAAAAACUUGCUUUUGAAUGCAUCUUUUGUAUUUAUAUAUUACACAU